This 127-nucleotide small RNA is filed under the name Marmota monax (woodchuck). Lineage: Eukaryota; Metazoa; Chordata; Mammalia; Rodentia; Sciuridae. The record is from RNAcentral.
GCUGGAUGUGGUGGCGCACACCUGUAAUUCCAACAGCUCAGGAGGCUGAGGCAGAAGGAUCACAAGUUCAAAGCCAGCCUCAACAACUUAGUAAGGCUUUAAGCAACUCAGUGAGACCCUGUCUCUA